This 253-nucleotide ribosomal RNA is filed under the name uncultured bacterium. RNAcentral describes it as "partial 16S ribosomal RNA". It matches the Rfam family "Bacterial small subunit ribosomal RNA", at positions 524 to 776 of the family's 1533-position model. The record is from RNAcentral.
UACAGAGGGGGCAAGCGUUGUUCGGAAUUACUGGGCGUAAAGGGCGCGUAGGCGGCCAACUAAGUCAGACGUGAAAGCCCCGGGCUCAACCUGGGAACGGCGCUUGAGACUGGCACGCUCGAGUUCGGGAGAGGAUGGUGGAAUUCCCAGUGUAGAGGUGAAAUUCGUAGAUAUUGGGAAGAACACCGAUGGCGAAGGCAGCCAUCUGGACCGACACUGACGCUGAGGCGCGAAAGCGUGGGGAGCAAACAGG